RNAcentral lists this ribosomal RNA (253 nucleotides) under uncultured bacterium. Its description in RNAcentral is "partial 16S ribosomal RNA". It matches the Rfam family "Bacterial small subunit ribosomal RNA", at positions 524 to 776 of the family's 1533-position model. The record is from RNAcentral.
UACGGAGGGUGCAAGCGUUAUCCGGAUUUACUGGGUUUAAAGGGUGCGCAGGCGGAUAUGUAAGUCAGUGGUGAAAUCUCUGGGCUUAACCCGGAAAUUGCCAUUGAUACUAUAUAUCUUGAAUGUUGUGGAGGUAAGCGGAAUAUGUCAUGUAGCGGUGAAAUGCUUAGAUAUGACAUAGAACACCUAUUGCGAAGGCAGCUUACUACGCAGAUAUUGACGCUCAUGCACGAAAGCGUGGGGAUCAAACAGG